GGCACAUGGUUAACCUGGACAAGUACCGGUGGGCGCUCGCCUGGGGUGGGGCGCGGGGCCGGGCCCUGGGAGGGGGCCGUGUUGUUCUGCGCUGACGCCGCCGAUCCUCGCAGGGGCUUCGUGUGCAUCGUCACCAACGUGGCCUCCCAGUGAGGCAAGACCGAAGUAAACUACACUCAGCUCGUCGACCUGCACGCCCGAUACGCUGAGUGUGGUUUGCGGAUCCUGGCCUUCCCGUGUAACCAGUUCGGGAAGCAGGAGCCAGGGAGUAACG
This 274-nucleotide small RNA is filed under the name Pan troglodytes (chimpanzee). Its description in RNAcentral is "retained intron". Lineage: Eukaryota; Metazoa; Chordata; Mammalia; Primates; Hominidae. The record is from RNAcentral.